GACGAACGCUGGCGGCGUGCCUAACACAUGCAAGUCGAACGAGGUCCAUGAGAGCUUGCUCUCAGAAGACCUAGUGGCGAACGGGUGAGUAACACGUGAGAAACCUGCCUCGGAGUGGGGAAUAACUCGGGGAAACUCGAGCUAAUACCGCAUAUCUUCACAUGAUCGCAUGGUCGAGUGAAGAAGAAUUUCGCUCUGAGAGGGUCUCGCGGCCUAUCAGCUUGUUGGUGGGGUAACGGCCCACCAAGGCAACGACGGGUAGCUGGUUUGAGAGAACGAUCAGCCACACUGGGACUGAGACACGGCCCAGACUCCUACGGGAGGCAGCAGUGGGGAAUCUUGCGCAAUGGGCGAAAGCCUGACGCAGCAACGCCGCGUGCGGGAUGACGGCCUUCGUGGUUGUAAGCCGCUUUCAGCAGGGACG
This 424-nucleotide ribosomal RNA is filed under the name uncultured bacterium. RNAcentral describes it as "bacterial SSU rRNA". It matches the Rfam family "Bacterial small subunit ribosomal RNA", at positions 28 to 447 of the family's 1533-position model. The record is from RNAcentral.